RNAcentral lists this ribosomal RNA (305 nucleotides) under uncultured bacterium. RNAcentral's name for it is "bacterial SSU rRNA". It matches the Rfam family "Bacterial small subunit ribosomal RNA", at positions 333 to 635 of the family's 1533-position model. The record is from RNAcentral.
CGGGGCCUACGGGACGCAGCAGUGAGGAAUAUUGGUCAAUGGGCGAGAGCCUGAACCAGCCAAGUCGCGUGAGGGAAGACGGUCCUAUGGAUUGUAAACCUCUUUUGUCAGGGAGCAAUUGGCGCUACGUGUAGCGUUAUCGAGAGUACCUGAAGAAAAAGCAUCGGCUAACUCCGUGCCAGCAGCCGCGGUAAUACGGAGGAUGCGAGCGUUAUCCGGAUUUAUUGGGUUUAAAGGGUGCGUAGGCGGAAUGCCAAGUCAGCGGUAAAAUCGCGGGGCUCAACCUCGCUCCGCCGUUGAAACUG